RNAcentral lists this small RNA (672 nucleotides) under Drosophila ananassae. RNAcentral's name for it is "GF26420". Lineage: Eukaryota; Metazoa; Arthropoda; Insecta; Diptera; Drosophilidae. The record is from RNAcentral.
UGUUGUUGGUGGUGGUGGCAGUAGAAGACAACAGUACAAUGACCGAAAGUUUUCCAUGCAAACAGACUUAGAAGAAGAAGCGGCUAAAUGAGAGGGAGUGGGAAAGCAGAAUUUUAUGCCGCAAAAAAAUAGUAGUAGAAAAAUAAGCAUGCUAGCUACUACUACUACUACUACUACUAAAACCUGUUGGAGCAGGAGUGGAAAAACAGAAUUUUAUUCCCGCUUUCUCGGCACCACUGCACUAUGGGAAAUAUUACAGCUUUCUGUGACGUAAAAAAUAUCCCCCAUAACGGUUGAACUUUCCACGAAAAGCGCUGCCAGAUGAUAUCCCCAAGGUUUCGCCGGAAUGGCAACGCCGCUUUGGACCAACAACUCUUCUUUCUUCUUCUCACCUCUCCAAAACGUACGAUCAAAAUGUACACUCUGAUAACGUAUGAAGGUGAGCAACAAAAUAAAAAACCAAAAAGAAAAGGCACAACUCCAAAACAACAACAAUGGAAUGUCGACGCACCCUUUUCUUUCUUGCGCAUUUCGAACACAGAGAGAGAGGAGAGGAGAAGAAGCGCAAAACCACAUCCCGCUUGAAAGACGAAUUAAAGUAAGAAAGAGGAGCGGGUGGAACUCUACAAUGGUGGUGGGGACAAUAGGGGAUACCUUGUUUUUAUUUUUUAU